This 422-nucleotide long non-coding RNA is filed under the name Musa acuminata (dwarf banana). RNAcentral's name for it is "long non-coding RNA (MACU_LNC002997)". Lineage: Eukaryota; Viridiplantae; Streptophyta; Magnoliopsida; Zingiberales; Musaceae. The record is from RNAcentral.
CACGACUUAAAUACAUUGAUACACAGUUGAUGUAUCUGAAGUUGGAAUUCACGUGUUAAUAUCUUAUACAUUAUUUGAAUAGAAGCUAAUUAAGAGAAAAACUUGAUGAACCAUUGGACUAACAUCUGUACAUUUUAUGCUCAUAGACGAAAAAGUCUUCUGUCACUUCCCAACUAAACUUGCAGAUAUUUGAUUGACAAUAACAACAACGUUGAUGGAGAUGGAGAUUAUUAUCGUCAGAGAAGAGCUGAACCACUUGUUCGUCCUGCCGGAAAGUGACACUGUUCAUGGAGACUAUUGAUGUCCGGGAAGAGCUGAACCACUUGUUAGUAAUGCUGGAUAUGACCGGAACUGGACAUGUUCGAUGCACUGCCAAAGAGAAAUCCAAUACUGGGCGAAGAGAUUUGAAGGAUGUUUAAUUG